Molecule: ribosomal RNA, 253 nt
Filed under: uncultured bacterium
Lineage: Bacteria
Description: partial 16S ribosomal RNA
Rfam family: Bacterial small subunit ribosomal RNA
Source: RNAcentral
UACGUAGGGUGCGAGCGUUAAUCGGAAUUACUGGGCGUAAAGCGUGCGCAGGCGGCGCGUUAAGACAGGUGUGAAAGCCCCGAGCUUAACUUGGGAAUUGCGCUUGUGACUGGCGUGCUGGAGUGUGGCAGAGGGAGGUGGAAUUCCACGUGUAGCAGUGAAAUGCGUAGAGAUGUGGAGGAACACCGAUGGCGAAGGCAGCCGCCUGGGCCAGCACUGACGCUGAGGAGCGAAAGUGUGGGGAGCGAACAGG